AACCCGCGUAUCCAGUCAGGGAGUGACCAGCGUGGCCGCGCCGUGAGCUCUGAGCAAGGGGCCUUUGGCCCGACGGUGAAAGGCGCCCGUCGCUGGCUCCUGAGGCCCAAACAUCAGAAAGCAGCCAGGACCCCGCGCCCGGCCUGCAGCGCGACGUGACACCCCGCCCACCCUCGGUGCGUCACGUUCAGGCGCGCGCUCGCGACUGACGUGCGCAGGCGUCUAAGACGCCGCGCAACCGCCAUUGCAUCCCUGUUGAGGAGUGGAGUAGCCGGUUAGUAGACGUCCACGGGCACGGAAGAGUACCCAUCCCAGAGCCAUGGUCCAUGCCUUUCUCAUCCACACCUUGCGGGCCCCGAAGGCUGAGGAGGGCCUUUGCCGAGUGCUCUACUCCUGCUUCUUUGGUGCGGAGAAUUCACCCGACGACCCAAGGCCACGUGGUCCUGAGAGGGACAGGCUCCUCCGAAAGGAGCAGAUUUUGGCCACGGCCAGGCAGGUGGAGUCUAUGUGGCAGCUGCAGCAGCAGGCGUGUGGCCGGCCUGGCAUGGACCUGCAGUCCCAGUCUUCAGAUGAGCCAGUGCCCCUGCAGGAGGCCCCAUGUGGGGCCUUCCGCCUGGCCGCAGGGGACCCUUUCCAGGAGCCUCGGACAGUAGUAUGGCUAGCUGUGCUCUCAUUAGGCUUCACCCUGGUGCUGGAUGCCCACGAGAACCUGCUGCUGGCCGAGGGCACACUCCGACUGCUGGCACGCCUUCUCCUUGACCACCUCCGGCUGCUGGUCCCUGGUGCCAACUUCCUGCUGCGGGCUGACCGCAUUGAGGGCAUCCUCACCCGCUUCCUGCCACAUGGUCAACUGCUCUUCCUCAAUGACCAGUUUGUCCAGGGUCUGGAGAAGGAAUUUAGUGCUGCCUGGCCCCGCUGACCCUUCACUGGGAUGGGACUUCCCAAGAGAGCAAGGAGGGAGGACGGGGGUGGACGGACACACAGCCAGGUCUUCCAACCCUGUGGAGCUGGUCUAUCCUUUAGUAUUCCAGUACCAGUUGCUUGAGCCCGCAUCCUGCCUGAAGUGGGAUAGUCGGUACUGCCCCAGCACAUCGUAUGUGUCUCCUGGGCAUCGCUUGUUCUCCUCAGCUUUUGCGGCAUUGUGACUUGGAUCUCAGGGCAUGUGACGACUCCUUUCUCUCUGCCCUGAUGUGCCUGCCCAGAUGCAGAAUACCUGCUCUUUCCCUUGAUGCCCCCAAAGAAUAGGGAAUUUGGGAAUAGCAGACUUUUACUAAAGUUUAGGGGGAUAGAGGAGAGUUAUCUUAUAGAACCACAGAGCAUAAGACUUGAGACUGAUUGUCAGACACUCGUGUUCCCUGAGUCUCUGAACCAUUCCCCCCAAGGAGGUCUUCUCCUAGUUCCCUUGGAGCCUUGGCCUCCCAUCAACUUUCAGGCUGCUCCCUUCUUUUUCAUUUUUUCACUAAAAAUUUUUUUUCUUUCUUCUUUUUAUUGUAAAAUAUGCAUAACAUAAAAUUGACCACUUUAACAAUUUUUAAGUGUACAAUUUAGUGGCAUUAACUACACUCACAGUAUUGUAUCUAUUUUCAGAAGGCUUUCAUCAUUUAAAACAGAAACUCUGUACCCAUUAAGCAGAAACUCCCUGUGCUCUCUUCUGUGCUCUCUGGUAUCCAGCACCCUCAUUUCUUUCCUGUUCCCACCGGGCAGUUAAGGGCUCCACCCCCCACCUAACUUGUUCCCAGGCCUACCUUUUCCCCCCCUUAACUGAUUGAACCCAGACCUCGUACAUACCAAGCACAUGCUCUACCACUGAGCUAUACCCCUCGACCCUCCCAGGCCUGCCUUUUGAUAGCAUAGCUGUGCCUACUUAAAAAAGGAGGGGGGGGAGAAGACUGUCUGGGGCUCCAUCUUCAGCAGUUCAAAGCGCAUUUUCAGUUCUGCUUUGAAAUCACAAAUUCUUAUGGGACAUAAUUAAAUCUCAGGCAAGACUUUCUUCCACACUGAUAUAUGUAAGCUGAAGAUGACCAUGGAAAGAUCUAUCCUUCCUAAGGUGAGUCAU
RNA transcript from Camelus dromedarius (Arabian camel), 2056 nucleotides. It is a transcript of the gene named adaptor related protein complex 5 subunit sigma 1, with no coding region annotated. The record is from RefSeq and is a predicted model, not a curated record. The transcript has 4 exons. NCBI's taxonomy places the organism in Eukaryota, Metazoa, Chordata, Mammalia, Artiodactyla, Camelidae.